RNAcentral lists this ribosomal RNA (561 nucleotides) under Didymella glomerata. RNAcentral's name for it is "eukaryotic LSU rRNA". The stretch from base 180 to 333 matches the Rfam family "5.8S ribosomal RNA". Lineage: Eukaryota; Fungi; Ascomycota; Dothideomycetes; Pleosporales; Didymellaceae. The record is from RNAcentral.
GGGAUCGCCCUUGUAGGUGAACCUGCGGAAGGAUCAUUACCUAGAGUUGUAGGCUUUGCCUGCUAUCUCUUACCCAUGUCUUUUAAGUACCUUACGUUUCCUCGGCGGGUCCGCCCGCCGAUUGGACAAUUUAAACCAUUUGCAGUUGCAAUCAGCGUCUGAAAAAACUUAAUAGUUACAACUUUCAACAACGGAUCUCUUGGUUCUGGCAUCGAUGAAGAACGCAGCGAAAUGCGAUAAGUAGUGUGAAUUGCAGAAUUCAGUGAAUCAUCGAAUCUUUGAACGCACAUUGCGCCCCUUGGUAUUCCAUGGGGCAUGCCUGUUCGAGCGUCAUUUGUACCUUCAAGCUCUGCUUGGUGUUGGGUGUUUGUCUCGCCUCUGCGUGUAGACUCGCCUCAAAACAAUUGGCAGCCGGCGUAUUGAUUUCGGAGCGCAGUACAUCUCGCGCUUUGCACUCAUAACGACGACGUCCAAAAGUACAUUUUUACACUCUUGACCUCGGAUCAGGUAGGGAUACCCGCUGAACUUAAGCAUAUCAAUAAGCGGAGGAAAGGGCGAUCC